GACGAACGCUGGCGGCGUGCUUAACACAUGGAAGUCGAACGGAAAGGCCCUGCUUUUGGGGGGUGCUCGAGGGGCGAACGGGGGAGUAAAACGUGAGUAACCUGCCCUUGAAUUUGGGAUAAAUUUAGGGAACUGGGGCUAAUACCGGGUAGGAGCUCCUGCUGCAAGGGGGGGGGUGGGAAGGUUCGGCGGUUGGGGAUGGACUCGCUGCUUAUCAGCUUGUUGGUGGGGUAGGGGCUUUCCAAGGCUUUGACGGGUAGCCGGCCUUGGAGGGUGACCGGCCACAUUGGGCCUGAGAUACGGCCCAGACUCCUACGGGAGGCAGCAGUGGGGAAUAUUGCACAAUGGGCGGAAGCCUGAUGCAGCAACGCCGCGUGCGGGAUGACGGCCUUCGGGUUGUAAACCGCUUUCGCCUGUGACGAAGCGUGAGUGACGGUAAUGGGUAAAGAAGCACCGGCUAACUACGUG
RNAcentral lists this ribosomal RNA (468 nucleotides) under uncultured bacterium. Its description in RNAcentral is "partial 16S ribosomal RNA". It matches the Rfam family "Bacterial small subunit ribosomal RNA", at positions 28 to 507 of the family's 1533-position model. The record is from RNAcentral.